Molecule: long non-coding RNA, 530 nt
Organism: Hirundo rustica (Barn swallow)
Lineage: Eukaryota; Metazoa; Chordata; Aves; Passeriformes; Hirundinidae
Exons: 4
Source: RefSeq, a predicted model, not a curated record
GGCCCAGCUGUCUCCUCUGGAUCUCUGGUGACCCAGCAUAGCCAUGGUGGACCUGCCAGGUGACAACCAUGAGGCACAGCAGGAGAUGAAGGCUAAGGAAGGGAAGCUGCCAGAGGAGUCAAGCUGCUGGAGGAAUGGCAGAAGAAAAGAGGCCAGAGAAGCAGAUGACUCCACUGCCACAUGGACUGCAAACAUGGAAGAAUGUCAUGACUGGGCCAGCAAGUUUGUCACUGGCCAUGGCACAGAAACCAUCUUUAACAGCCAGGGACGCUGCCCUGAAGCCCAGGACUACUAAGCCACAAGUGGCCCUUCCAGGUGAUGGAUGUCAAGCCUCACAUGCCGGAGAGAAGGGCAUGAACUGAGGCACAGGACCAGGGCCAGCCAGCAAAACCAGAAGGAAAGAUCAGUAUUCUGCAGGAAGCUCACCAUAUAAAAUAAAGUGGAGGUAAGGCAAUUAACAGGAAGCUCUCUGGACUUCUGUUGCGCCUGUGCUGUGGAGAACAAGCGAGGCUUUUUGUUCUCAUCUCAGG